UGAGGAUGAAGAAGAGGGUAUGAACUUUGAUUGUUCUGAGUUUUUCGUAUAUUUGUUGUUUACCGUGUGGUUACAGGUGAAUGUUUAGAAUAUUGGUGAUUUCAAAUUAGGGUUUCCUACGUGGCAUUGUUUGAUAUUGAUGUGAACUAUCAUACAAUUGCUCUUUCGGGCAGGCUGUGCAUAAUGGUAACGAAUUUAUCAAACUGUGUCUAGACCUUGCUCUUUUAGUACUGAUUUUGUUCAAUUUGAGAUAUGUUGAUUUGAGAAUAUGUGCAUUUAUGGAUUUAUGGGUGGGUAGGACUUUCCAUCAAGUUCACAUUUGGAUUUCUUUCCUUUUAUACCAGAUUGCUCUUGCAUUCUUGCUUGGACAGUGAACCUGGUCUUGAGACAUAUCCUGACAUUUGUGAAGCUGCUUUUGGUACUACUGGAUGUAUUGCCAUUUUAAUAGUAUUGUAUGUCAAGUUAUAUGCAAGGAUGUUGCAUUGAGUAUAUAAUUUUGGAAGGUGACAACUUGGCAUCCUUGUUUCCAAAUGC
Molecule: long non-coding RNA, 534 nt
Organism: Vicia villosa (hairy vetch)
Lineage: Eukaryota; Viridiplantae; Streptophyta; Magnoliopsida; Fabales; Fabaceae
Exons: 3
Source: RefSeq, a predicted model, not a curated record